RNAcentral lists this ribosomal RNA (503 nucleotides) under uncultured bacterium. Its description in RNAcentral is "partial 16S ribosomal RNA". It matches the Rfam family "Bacterial small subunit ribosomal RNA", at positions 30 to 523 of the family's 1533-position model. The record is from RNAcentral.
AUUGAACGCUGGCGGCAGGCUUAACACAUGCAAGUCGAGCGGGGUGAUGGUGCUUGCACUAUCACUUAGCGGCGGACGGGUGAGUAAUGCUUAGGAAUCUGCCUAUUAGUGGGGGACAACAUCUCGAAAGGGAUGCUAAUACCGCAUACGUCCUACGGGAGAAAGCAGGGGAUCACUUGUGACCUUGCGCUAAUAGAUGAGCCUAAGUCGGAUUAGCUAGUUGGUGGGGUAAAGGCCUAACAAGGCGUCGAUCUGUAGCGGGUCUGAGAGGAUGAUCAGACACUCAGGGACUGGAACACGGCCCAGACUCCUACGGGAGGCAGCAGUGGGGAAUAUUGGACAAUGGGCGGAAGCCUGAUACAGCCAUGCCGCGUGUGUGAAGAAGGCCUUUUGGUUGUAAAGCACUUUAAGCGAGGAGGAGGCUACUUAGACUAAUACUCUGGGAUAGUGGACGUUACUCGCAGAAUAAGCACCGGCUAACUCUGUGCCAGCCGCCGCGGUAA